Molecule: long non-coding RNA, 1134 nt
Filed under: Equus caballus (horse)
Lineage: Eukaryota; Metazoa; Chordata; Mammalia; Perissodactyla; Equidae
Description: lncRNA (ENSECAG00000048457.1)
Source: RNAcentral
ACUGAGGAUGUCCCAGUCACCCUUUGUCACCCCACACUUAGCCUAAUGCCAGAGGUCUGAGAUGAAGGAGGUGAGGGGGUCUUGGUAACGAGAAUGUGCCUCAUCCAAGCUGCAUGGAUCCAUGCCCCUGCACUGGAGUCGCAGAAUGGGGAGCGGCUGCAAGAAAGGUCCCCUGGGAGGCUGGAGAACAGGAGUGGGGUGGAGUUAGUGUCAGGGUCCCUCUGCAGCCUGAAAGUCACUUGAGAAACAAUUGUUGAGCACCUACUAGUGGCAAGAUAGGAGAUCAAGGACCAUGAAGACGUCCGCAUGUGCGGGCACACACACCCCAGUAAGACAAAUCAUAGUGUAGUGGUGGCCUUGGCUGUACAUAGAAAGAGGCAUCCUAGAGAAGGGGAGGUCUGAGCAGAGAGAUGACAGGUUGAGCACUCCUGGCAGAGGGAGUGGCAUGAUGGAGAAAGAGAAUGAGAUGGAGGACAAGUGCAGCGUGCCCAGGUAUAAUGUGCCUAGGGGAUAGAGGGGGUGUGGCAAGUGGGGAGAGGGAUGAGAGUAUGGUGGGAAAUGAGGCUGGAAGGAGAGAUGAGGCCACGACACAGAGGAGAGACUCAGAAUGCUGCAUAACCUCCCUGAGCCCCAUGGUCUUCGUUACUGCAAAUGGGACGUGGAAUCCAGGAAUGAGAGGCACAUGUUAAACUACAUUUUCCAGCCCUCUUGCUUUGAGGCUGGCCAUGUCACUGAGUUCUGGCAAUGAAACGGGCACAGAAGUGAUUUUUGUCACUUUCAGGCCUGAUCCAUAAAAACCUCGAUCCGUCAUCCCCUUUUCCAUCAUCCCUAUCUGGAUGACCCAGGGCACCACGAAGCCAUGUGAUGAAGAUGGGGAGAGCUUGGUCCCUGAAUGAUUACAUGGAGCAGAGCACCCUUCACCCUGCCCGCUGCCACCUACACUGAACUAUGACUUGGAUGAAAUAAACCUUCCCUGUGUUAAUCCGGUGAGAGUUUAGCUUAUCCUGACUAACAGCACCAUGAAGGUCUGAAGCCAAGUCCAUCAAACUCUGAAGACCAUCCUCUCUCAUGAAGCCAUAUUGCCACACAAUAUAGCAGAAAUAUAAAAGUCAAACUAUAAAAUAUUAUCUAAUU